GGAAAAGACUGAGCGCCAGUCGUCGCCUUUCGCCGUGAGAAGUUCGCGUUUCUUCUGCCGCGAGCAUGCGCGGCGCCACUAGUCAUCUUCCAACACUUGAAUUUAGUCGAUAAGUAACUUCAGUAUUAUAUGCAGUAGGGUGUCAGUUUGAAGUCCAAAAAAAAAUUCUCAAGCCAGAAUCAGCGGUCAGUCUGUUAUCAUUAUCAUCCAGAUAGCCAGGUCGCCGCUUCAACCAGUUAAAGGCAAUUUGACGCAGAGUUUACGUGUCGCGGAUUUAGUGAAAAAGUCGUUUCGAAACUUUCGUUGGAAUUAAAGUUCUGCAUACAAUAAAAUGGCGGCGUUGUAUGAAAUGGCGACUGAACGCGAAUCUAACCUCGA
Molecule: long non-coding RNA, 378 nt
Organism: Cotesia glomerata
Lineage: Eukaryota; Metazoa; Arthropoda; Insecta; Hymenoptera; Braconidae
Exons: 3
Source: RefSeq, a predicted model, not a curated record